Molecule: ribosomal RNA, 476 nt
Filed under: uncultured bacterium
Lineage: Bacteria
Description: bacterial SSU rRNA
Rfam family: Bacterial small subunit ribosomal RNA
Source: RNAcentral
UGGCUCAGGAUUAACGCUGGCGGCGUGCCUAAUACAUGCAAGUCGAAUGGUAGCAAUACCAUGGCGAACGGGUGAGUAACACGUAGGUAACCUGUCUUUAAGACGAGGAUAACCGUUGGAAACGACGGAUAAUACUCGAUAGGUGAUUUUUAGGGCAUCCUAGGAUCAUUAAAGAUUUAUCACUUAGAGAGGGGCCUGCGGCGCAUUAGCUAGAUGGCGGGGUAAUAGCCCACCAUGGCGAUGAUGCGUAGCCGGACUGAGAGGUUGAACGGCCACAAUGGAACUGAGAACGGUCCAUACUCCUACGGGAGGCAGCAGUAGGGAAUUUUCGGCAAUGGGCGAAAGCCUGAACCCGAGCAACGCCGCGUGAACGAAGAAGUAUUUCGGUAUGUAAAGUUCUUUUAUUAGGGAAGAAAAAUAUCCAAAUUGACGGUACCUAAUGAAUAAGCUCCGGCUAACUACGUGCCAGCAGCCGC